GAUUGUAAAAAAAAGGAAAAAGAAAAAUUCGAAAAUAUAAAUAAUAAUAGUUAUAUAUAUAAUGAUCAAAUAAAUGAUGAUGCGAAUUGUGAUUUAACUUCCCAUUUAAUAAAAAAAGAAAAGGCGAAACAAAAAAAAAAACAAAAAAAAGAACAAAAAAAAAAACAAANNNNNNNNNNNNNNNNNNNNNNNNNNNNNNNNNNNNNNNNNNNNNNNNNNNNNNNNNNNNNNNNNNNNNNNNNNNNNNNNNNNNNNNNNNNNNNNNNNNNCAGUUAUUUCUAACCAAAGAAACUAAAGGUAAGGAGAAUUUAUACCAAGAAAGAAAAUAUGAUAAUUAUAACUUUAUCGAACAUAACAAUAAUUUAAUAAUCGAUCGAAAUUUGUAUAUACAACAAAAAAAUUCAAAAAGUGUAACCGAAAAGGAGAACAUAUAUUUAACAGAUUUAGAUGAAUCAACAAGUGCAAACUACAUAACCGAAACAUAUAAUUACAAUAAUAAUACUAUUCCAACUUUUUUAACUAUCAAAAACCCUUUUGCUAGUAUUUAUAAAAAUAUUUUUUUUUUUAAUCGCGUCGUUGAAGACUAUAAAAAUAAGAAUAAUCGAGACACAAAUAAUAAAAUAUGUUAUAACACUGCUCUUUCUAAAAUAACAAUGAAACAAAAAAAUGUACAUACAUCAUCUAUAAAAAAAAAUAGUGAUAACACGUUAUCUUCUUUGUAUGAAAAAAACAUACUAUACAGUACUAAUCAGAAAGAACAAACAUAUACUUUAAAAAAUAAUAAACACACUAUUUGUAACGAAUAUAUAUUUAAUGACCCGUUACAUAUUAACACAGACUCUUUAAUUCGACUAAAUGAAGAUUUAAAAAUUUUCAACGAAAUGAAAAAUAGUGUAGCUAGUACGAAUGCGGCUAGUACCAACGCGGCUAGUACCAACGCAUCCAGUACAAGUGGUAUUAGUACCAAUGGUAUUAGUACCAAUGGUAUUAGUACCAAUGGUAUUAGUACCAAUGGGAAUAGUACCAAUGGGAAUAGUACCAAUGGGAAUAGUACAAAUGGUGGUAGUACAAAUAGGGAUAGUACAAAUGGGGCUAUCACAAAUGAAACUCGUACAUAUAUAACUAGUACAAAUAUAAAUAGUGAAAAUAUAACCAGUAAAAAUGUAGUGAACCCCAAUAAAAACAGUAUACAGAAAAGUAAUAUAAAAGUUUUAUAUAAAAAAAAAACGAGCUCUAUAAAAUUUGAUGGUUUUAAAGAGGACAGCCUAGAAGAUAAUGAAAAGCUUUUAAGUAGCUUUGAAAGUAUUAAAGACAAUAAAAAAAAACAAGCAAUCUGGCUAGAACAAAACAUAAAUAGUAAUAACAGUAAUGUAAACAAUAAUAAUAGUUUCAAUGAAAUUGUUAAUUCUGAAAAUGAAAUAAAAUACAUGAACAGGCAUAAACGAUUAAUUCAAAUAGAAGAAAAACAAAUGGAAAGAAACUUUGACAUAUUUUUAUGUUUAUUCAUGAAAUAUGAAAAAAAAGAUUCUUAUUGCUUUUGUUUAUUAAGUGACGAAGAGUUAACUGAACAAUCGCUUUUUCAUCAUGCUUGUAUUAAACCCAUGCUAGAUGAGUAUAAAAAAAAAAAAGUGGAAAAAAUGAUGAAAGUGACAGACGUGACAGAGACCACUGACGUAGGUAAAACAGAACAAACAAAUCCAAAUAGAACCAUCGUAAAUAAUCAAAUCAAAAAUGAAGUAAGCACAUAUAACAACGAUUUCGAUUCUAUCCAUAUCAACAAACGAGUGAUCGAAAUUAUGAUACCCACGAUUAAAAAAAAUUAUUUUAACUAUGUUCAUAAAUUGUUCCAAAAAAAAAAAGAUGACCCAGAUAUAGAAUUUUUAGAUGACUUGAAAAAAGAAAUAAUGGAAAUAAAUUCUAAAAUAAAUAAUUAUUAUACUGUUAAAUCUGUUGGUAAAUAUGAUAAUAAUUUGUGUACAAAAAAUUGUAAUCCUUAUGAACAAAAAAUAAAAUUAAUUGAUAAACCCCAAUGGAAUAAUAAAGAAAAUUUACACAUCUUAUUAAAAAAACAACAGAAUUAUAAUCCUUUUACAAUUUUUGGAACAAGUAUAAAAGAAGUGAAUUUAGAAGAAAUUUUUACAUUAGAUACAUAUAAUAAUUAUGUUACUAAUGAAGAUAGAUUUAAAAAUAAAAUAUUAUAUGAACUAUAUAUUGGAAAUUAUAUAAAUAAUUUAUAUGAAC
This is a long non-coding RNA of Piliocolobus tephrosceles (Ugandan red Colobus), 2241 nucleotides long. NCBI's taxonomy places the organism in Eukaryota, Metazoa, Chordata, Mammalia, Primates, Cercopithecidae. The record is from Ensembl.